GGGGGGGCGGGGAGUGGUGGUCGGAAUAUUCAUCCCCACUUCGCCGUCGCCGCGCUGCCCUCUAGUGCGGGUGGUGAGCGCUGAGCCAGCGCGGGAGGCGCCCCGGCGGCAGCGGUACGGGGAGGGCCGCGCCGGCUCCUUCUGCAGGUCUCCGUCAGCUCCCCUCGCCGUCACUGGGGCGCCGUGCUGCUCCAGGCCGGGGCGGAAGCUGCGGCCUUCGCGGGCUGCCGGAUCCGCGUCCCGCCUCAGCGCCCGGAGGACAUGCGGGAGAGAGAAUGAGCCAGAGGGACACGCUGGUGCAUCUGUUUGCCGGAGGAUGUGGUGGUACAGUGGGAGCUAUUCUGACAUGUCCACUGGAAGUUGUGAAAACACGGCUGCAGUCGUCUUCUGUGACACUUUAUAUCUCUGAAGUUCAGCUGAGCACCAUGGCCGGAGCCAGUGUCAAUCGAGUAGUGUCUCCUGGACCUCUCCAUUGUCUAAAGGUGAUCUUGGAAAAAGAAGGGCCUCGUUCCCUAUUUAGAGGAUUAGGCCCCAAUUUGGUGGGGGUGGCCCCUUCCAGAGCCAUAUACUUUGCUGCUUAUUCAAACUGCAAGGAAAAGUUGAAUGGUUUAUUUGAUCCUGAUUCUACCCAGGUACACAUGAUUUCAGCUGCAAUGGCAGGUCACUUCCUGUAGAAAUAUGGACUAACUUAAACCUCGUUUUACUGCAAUCACAGCGACCAACCCCAUUUGGCUUAUAAAGACUCGAUUACAGCUCGAUGCAAGGAACCGUGGGGAAAAGCGAAUGGGUGCUUUCGAGUGUGUCCGUAAAGUGUAUCAGACAGAUGGACUUAGAGGAUUUUAUAGGGGCAUGUCUGCUUCAUAUGCUGGCAUAUCAGAGACUGUCAUCCAUUUUGUUAUAUAUGAAAGUAUUAAGCAAAAACUACUAGAAUAUAAGAUUGCUUCUACAAUGGAAAACGAAGAAGAGUCUGUAAAAGAAGCGUCCGAUUUUGUGGGAAUGAUGCUAGCUGCCGCCACCUCAAAAACGUGUGCCACAAGUAUAGCGUAUCCACACGAAGUUGUAAGAACAAGACUGCGUGAAGAGGGAACAAAAUAUAGAUCCUUUUUUCAGACACUGUCUUUGCUUGUUCAAGAAGAAGGCUAUGGCUCUCUUUACCGUGGUCUGACAACGCAUCUGGUGAGACAGAUUCCAAACACAGCCAUUAUGAUGGCCACCUAUGAGCUGGUGGUCUACCUGCUCAAUGGAUAGCACCGCCAGACCGCUAUGCUGUAGAGAGGGAAGACCAAAAGAGAAAUUGGACCAUGGAGCACCAGAGCCAGCAUGGCGGACAGAAGGGAAAUAGUGUGGGAACAUGAAACUGUGCCUACGUGGAAGUUUGGCUGUAGGAAUUAAAGUAAUUGUAACCACAUUACUUAGUCUUUUUAGUAAUGUGGAAAAAAAAACCAUGGCUGCCUCCAAGAAAAAGCCUUUAGAAGCACCCCUUCCUCAAAAUUGCCAUUUUCUCUGUCACGUCUACAGGAUACCGUUGGCGUUUUGUUGAUUUAUGGCAACCAGAGUAAGUGUUUAUUCCAUGAGCACUUUUCCAGUCUUCUAGACAAAGCCAUCCAUAAUAUAUACUAGAACUAUCCAAAGAAAGUUGUAACAGUCAUAAAUUUCUAACAUCCGGCUUCUGUAUAGUUCCUAUGAAAUUGGAAAGUAACAAUACUAGUAUUUACAUUUCCUUGAGAGGACUUGGCACUGUAUUUUAAAGGUAAUUGUUUGGUAUUGGUAGUCACUGUUUUUGACAGAUGAAGUAAUAUCUAAAUAUUGUGCUUACUUUUAGUUUUAAAAUGUGUUGAUUUCUACUGCUCACAGGUGUGUUACCUUUAGCCCAGUGUGAACACUAAAAUUGCUCAAUGUAUCAACUCAAAUGGUAAUAGUUUGCGACAAAAUAAGCCAGCAAAAUGUUGAUUGUUGGCCAUUUGGACAACUUGAGCAUGUUCUAUCUGUCUAACCUAACGAUACAUGAAUGAAGGCAAUGUCUCUUCAGUAACUUAACUGAUUAUGAACUUAAAUUGUCACCCAUCAUACCUAAGUAUCAUUUUCUUAAAGUGAAAAAAAAUGCACUGCUUCUGGAUCUUUCUCUAGUUUCACAUUAAGAAUUUGAACCUUUGGAUUAUUUCUGGAAGAUCUUCAUACAUUGCAUUAUUUAGUAGAGAAAAUGGUAAUUUUCAGCUUUGCCUUUAAAAGGCGUUUUUCUUUUUAAGGUAACAUUAUAAGAAUCCGGGGCAGCAUAAACAUUUAUAGAAGGGCCUCUGUUAUCUGAUUGAGUGGAUAGUGAUCCUAACUGACUUAUAGUUUUAUAAGUGAACAAACUACAUUGCAUAAGAAAUUUAUUCCAUCCUAAUUUCUUGAAUGGUAAAUCAUUUAAAAAAUGCAAGUUAAUUCAGAUGAAGUGUAUUAACAAGAGAUAGCUUUUACAUUUUGCUGUUGAGAUCAACUGCACCUUUUAAUACUGUAAGUGUAUUUAUUAUAUGUAUGGCCCUUGUGAAGAUACUUGCUGUAAGUCUCUAAUAUUAAAGACUUUUGCUUAUGGUUGUUGCUAUACUGGUGUAUGAAGCUUCUACCAUUAAACUCCAGUGUGGUACUCAUUUCGGUAUACAUGAACUGUACAUUGUGUGCAGUGGCUUUAUCUUAAGAAUGACUCUUUGUGAAUGCACUUUGUGGCCUUUUGGGAGGUUAGAGGGGUGUGAGUAGGAGAGGAUUCCCAUGUUGGAUUAUUUUUUUAAAACAUUGGUUAAUGUAUUAGGCAGGAACAGUAUUCAUAACAUUUUUUUUUCUGGGAUUUAGGUAUAUUGUAUGGGGGAUCUUUAAUAUAAUAAAUGUUUUAAGUAUUCUUAUGUGUACUGCAGUGCCCCUAACAUAAAAAACAUAGUGUCAUUGCAAGCUUUCUCUGCUGUCACCAGUGAAACACAGUGCCCUGUUAAAUUCCUCCACCUUCUUAAUUUCCUUGUAAUCAACAGUAACUGGAUGUUUUUGAGGUGCUUCGAUUGGAAUUAGUAUUCCAGUCUAUUUGAAGACCAAAGGCAAAUUCAGUUUCAUUACCUUUGGGAUUAUUCAUAUCUUUUAUGGUGAAUUUCAGCUUUGACAUUUAUUGUGAGAAACAUGCCAAAAAAAAGAAAAGAGUAAUAGGGUUUAUAACUUAAAUCUGUAGAGAAAGUGUCAACCUAUAGUGUUUUGAUUUUCAGGUGCCGCUUAUACUGCCUAAUACAGUGCCAUUUGCCUUGUGAAGAUCUGUAAACAUUGUUGUAUCGAAUGUACAAGAGACUCUAAUUUAGUGAUCUGGAUACCCACAAAUGGUUAAGAAUGAUAUGAAAACCAGCAACUAAGGAACAUCUUAUUUAGUUGUAGCAAAUUCAUAACAAGUGUCCUUCAAGGAUGAACUCAUAUUCUGUUCCUGUUUGUAUUUGUAUUGACCUUGACCUUUUAGUGCAUUGUAUUCAGCUUUUAAAAGUUGAGUAUAUUUCUGUGCUGGAAGAAAAGGAUCUUAAGAGUCUCAGGCUUUCUUUGUGCGACAGCUGGAAAGGAGCGAUGAUGUUUAGUUGUUUUAUCCCCCAAAAAAUACAAUCUGCUGUGGUUUAUGACAGAUAAUUUAACAAAAUACAUAUAUAAAAAUUGUAUAUAAAGUCUGUCUGAAACAUUUCUUGGGAGGGUUUUUUUUUUUUGGUGCAAACAUUUAAAAAGAAAACUUAAAGCAUUGAAAUUUUUUUUAUUCUGUGUUUUAUUUUCAUCUAUCAGAUAACUUUAUUACUGUAUAGAGGUAGUCAGCACUCUUCAAAUUGGUAUGUACUUUUAUUUGAGAAUCUUCUCAGAAAAUUGAAUUGCUCCUUUCAGUUUAAAGCGGUACAUACUGAAGAGCAUAUUCAUAGAGCACCAGAUAAAGAACUCUGGUACUUCUGGCUCACAGAAACAGUUUACUAGAGUUCAAAGUGCACAUCUGAGAAUCACCAACCUGUGAUUGUGGGGUACCACACAGUGCUUUUAAAUCCAGGGAAGAAACUGUGUCACCAAAGCUUGGUUUUCCUUAUGUGUGUUACUUUGCGGAACCAGUCUUAACUCGAUGAGACCCACAAGUAAUUGAUUUUUUUAAACUGACACCAAGAGAGAAUAUUAUUUACAUUGUUUAACUAUGUCUCUGUCUCCUAAAACCAAAUGCCCAUUAUGGAAUAGCAUGGUUAUAUUAGGACUAGCUGAGUUUGGGUUAUUAAGAAUAAUGAGUGUUUACUCUUUUACUGGAGUAUAAAUAUGUCAGCAUUUUUUAGAUUUGUUUCAGAUCACUAAAAAUAUUGAUUUGACCCUGAAAGAAUUAAGUGCUAGGAAUCAGUUUAUCCUUUAACCUUCCGGCAUUGUCUGUGCUGUCUUCUGUUUGCAUGCUCUUCUGCCUAGACUGUUAGUACUAUCAGGACCCUUUUGGGGCUGCCGGAUGUAAUACAGCCUUUUUCUCUAGGAUUGAUCAUGACUUCAACAUUCCUAAGAAUACAGAUAUUUCUAAAUGAUUUAAAUUGGAAGGGGAUUUUAAUUAAAAGUACUUAGUACAGUGUACAGACUUUCAGCUUACACAAAUCUCUUCUCCAUUGUGCCCUUAUAUUUCUCAAUCUAUACUCUGCUUUUUAUGCUACUCCUUUUAGAAACUGAAGAUUCCUGGUUUACUCAGUUUUUGUGUUAAUAAUCAUUUUGAAUGUGUACCCCUGCAUAUGUGAACAUUUAAAUUAUGACCUGUCAGUUGUAGUUAAAUAAUCAACUUCAAAGAGUUGAUAUUCUUUGACCAUUUAUGUGAGGUUUGCUAUUCUUGCAUUCCUGUUAUGUGGCUGUAAAUUAUGUGCAUUUACUCUGUAUUUAUGUUAACUAGCUGAAUUUUAUUUGAGUUGUUAAAAUUCAAAAAAUUAAAAUAUACUUAUGAAAA
RNA transcript from Capra hircus (goat), 4942 nucleotides. It is a transcript of the gene named solute carrier family 25 member 36, with no coding region annotated. The transcript is spliced from 8 exons. NCBI's taxonomy places the organism in Eukaryota, Metazoa, Chordata, Mammalia, Artiodactyla, Bovidae. The record is from RefSeq and is a predicted model, not a curated record.